This 944-nucleotide ribosomal RNA is filed under the name uncultured bacterium. RNAcentral describes it as "bacterial SSU rRNA". It matches the Rfam family "Bacterial small subunit ribosomal RNA", at positions 16 to 927 of the family's 1533-position model. The record is from RNAcentral.
AUCCUGGCUCAGGACGAACGCUGGCGGCGUGCCUAAUACAUGCAAGUCGAACGAAGCUUUCUUUCACCGAAUGCUUGCAUUCACCGAAAGAAGCUUAGUGGCGAACGGGUGAGUAAUACGUAGGCAACCUGCCCAAAAGAGGGGGAUAACACUUGGAAACAGGUGCUAAUACCGCAUAACCAUGAACACCGCAUGAUGUUCAUGUAAAAGACGGCUUUUGCUGUCACUUUUGGAUGGGCCUGCGGCGUAUUAACUUGUUGGUGGGGUAACGGCCUACCAAGGUGAUGAUACGUAGCCGAACUGAGAGGUUGAUCGGCCACAUUGGGACUGAGACACGGCCCAAACUCCUACGGGAGGCAGCAGUAGGGAAUCUUCCACAAUGGACGAAAGUCUGAUGGAGCAACGCCGCGUGAAUGAAGGAGGCCUUCGGGUCGUAAAAUUCUGUUGUCAGAGAAGAACGUGCGUGAGAGUAACUGUUCACGUAUUGACGGUAUCUGACCAGAAAGCCACGGCUAACUACGUGCCAGCAGCCGCGGUAAUACGUAGGUGGCGAGCGUUGUCCGGAUUUAUUGGGCGUAAAGGGAACGCAGGCGGUCUUUUAAGUCUGAUGUGAAAGCCUUCGGCUUAACCGAAGUAGUGCAUUGGAAACUGGAAGACUUGAGUGCAGAAGAGGAGAGUGGAACUCCAUGUGUAGCGGUGAAAUGCGUAGAUAUAUGGAAGAACACCAGUGGCGAAAGCGGCUCUCUGGUCUGUAACUGACGCUGAGGUUCGAAAGCGUGGGUAGCAAACAGGAUUAGAUACCCUGGUAGUCCACGCCGUAAACGAUGAGUGCUAAGUGUUGGAGGGUUUCCGCCCUUCAGUGCUGCAGCUAACGCAUUAAGCACUCCGCCUGGGGAGUACGGUCGCAAGACUGAAACUCAAAGGAAUUGACGGAAGGGCGAAUU